RNAcentral lists this ribosomal RNA (337 nucleotides) under Hydriomena impluviata. RNAcentral describes it as "eukaryotic LSU rRNA". It matches the Rfam family "Eukaryotic large subunit ribosomal RNA", at positions 48 to 366 of the family's 3401-position model. Lineage: Eukaryota; Metazoa; Arthropoda; Insecta; Lepidoptera; Geometridae. The record is from RNAcentral.
UUGGGGAGGAAAAGAAACUAACUAGGAUUUCCUUAGUAGCGGCGAGCGAACASGAAAUAGCCCAGCACUGAAUCCCGUCGUUGUAACGGCGGCGGGAGAUGUGGUGUUCGGGAGGUUCCGCUUUCUUGUCGUCGUCCACUCCUGUCCAAGUUCGUCUUGAACGGGGCCCAUUUCCCAGAGAGGGUGCCAGGCCCGUAGCGACGGAGGACGGCGGCGAGAGGAACUCUCCUCAGAGUCGGGUUGCUUGAGAGUGCAGCCCUAAGCGGGUGGUAAACUCCAUCUAAGGCUAAAUAUUACCGCGAGACCGAUAGCGAACAAGUACCGUAAGGGAAAUUGG